This 2040-nucleotide unclassified non-coding RNA is filed under the name Stegodyphus dumicola. RNAcentral describes it as "g protein-coupled receptor kinase 2-like, transcript variant X1". Lineage: Eukaryota; Metazoa; Arthropoda; Arachnida; Araneae; Eresidae. The record is from RNAcentral.
UCGCUGUGCAGUAAACUGGGCACAUCUUUCAUUAAGUCGCAGACGUACGGUUGCGUAGGGCAGAUUUUUGAAAUACGUUUGCUGGUGCGUGUGUGUGGGUUCUUAGUGAAUCCACUUUCUUUGGAUUUACCACGCUGGAACUAAUGGAAUUAGAGAAUAUUGUUGCUAAUACGGUGUAUUUGAAGGCUAGAGAAGGUGGUGCUGAUAGCAACAAAGGGAAAAGCAAAAAAUGGAAAAAAAUUCUACAGUUUCCUCAUAUUUCACACUGUAUAGAUCUAAAGAACAAAAUAGAUUGCAGGUAUUCUUAUGUUGUAGAACAGCAGCCUAUUGGGCAUCAAUUGUUCAGGCAAUUCUGCGAAACAAAGCCCCAUUAUAGUAAAUGUAAUGACUUUCUAGAUAUAGUGGAUAUAUAUGAAGUACAGUUAGACGAGGAUAGAGCAGAUGUUGCUCAGGAGGUCUUCAGUAAAUAUUUAAGCAAAGAUUCCAGUGAAUUCGUAGAUGUUGUUAAUGAAGAUCUGAUAGAAAGAUGUCAUGCAAAUCUCCAAACGGCCAGCAGAGAUUUGUUUACUGAGUGUGCAAGGGCUGUCAAAGAGUUCUUGUCUCGGGAGCCAUUUAAAGAGUUUGAAAACAGCAUGUACUUUCAUAGAUACUUGCAGUGGAAAUGGCUAGAGAGCCAGCCAGUGACAGCAAAAACCUUCCGAAUGUACCGUGUCUUAGGAAAGGGUGGUUUCGGUGAGGUCUGUGCUUGUCAGGUGAGAGCUACAGGAAAGAUGUAUGCAUGCAAGAAAUUGGAAAAAAAAAGAAUAAAAAAAAGAAAAGGAGAAUCUAUGGUUUUGAUAGAAAAGAAUAUACUCCAGAAAAUAAACUCAAGAUUUGUUGUCAGUCUAGCCUAUGCAUAUGAAACAAAAGAUGCUCUUUGCCUUGUGCUCACAAUAAUGAAUGGUGGUGACCUGAAGUUUCAUAUUUAUAACAUGGGGGGAGAACCUGGAUUUGAUUUGGAACGUGCAAGGUUUUAUGCAGCUGAAGUUACUCAAGGCUUAGAACAUUUACAUGCUCAAGGAAUAGUAUACAGGGACUUGAAGCCAGAGAAUAUUUUACUGGAUGAUCAUGGACAUGUUAGGAUAUCUGAUCUGGGCUUAGCAACAGAAAUUUUAGAAGGUGAAAUGGUAAGAGGGCGAGUUGGAACUGUUGGAUAUAUGGCACCAGAAGUAAUAGACAAUGAGAAAUACACUUUCAGUCCUGAUUGGUUUAGUCUUGGUUGCUUUAUAUAUGAAAUGAUUGAAGGUCAGGCACCAUUUCGGGCUAGGAAAGAGAAAGUUAAAAGAGAAGAAGUUGAACGGCGAGUGAAAGAAGACAAAGAAAGAUAUUCCUCAAAAUUUAGUGAUGAUGCCAAGUCCUUGUGUCAUGAGCUGCUGAAAAAGUCUGUGAAAGAAAGGUUAGGUUGUAAUAAUGGAAGAUACGGAUCACUGAAAGUGAAGGCUCACCCAUUCUUCAAAUCUAUCAACUGGAAAAGGCUGGAAGCUGGAAUACUUCAACCUCCUUUUGUGCCUGAUCCUCAUGCUGUGUAUGCCAAAGAUGUAUUGGAUAUAGAGCAGUUUUCCACAGUAAAAGGAGUAAAUUUAGAUGCUAGUGAUGAUACAUUUUAUAGUAAAUUUAAUAUGGGAAGCAUUUCUAUACCUUGGCAAAAUGAAAUGAUAGAAACAGAGUGCUUUCAAGAGCUAAAUGUUUUCGGACCUGAUGGAACUCCAAGUCCAGAUUUAAUGCUAGAUCAGCCUCCACCAGUUGAACCUUCUGGGUGCUUUCCAUUCCGUAAGAAGGCUAAAAACUGGAAUUUUUGUUGUUGAACAUUUAGCCAUUGGAAAGAAUGCUCCAUGUCUACUCAAGAUGGCCCGCUAACCUACCGUGAAAAUUCCUAACAAAGUGAAAACAUCAAAUAGCCAUGCUCAUUUGUCUUUAUCUGAAGAACCUAAUUCAUCUGUUCUGUUACUUCCUGUCUCUGGAGCUUCCAGUGGUGUAAAUUCCAUGGGCCAAGAACUGUCU